GAUGCCCUUGGUGGAAAGGCGCAAGCCGCUUCGGGAGGGGCCUGCGGCCCAUCAGCUAGUUGGCAGGGUAAUGGCCUACCAAGGCGACGACGGGUAGGGGUCCUGAGAGGGUGGCCCCCCACACUGGCACUGACACACGGGCCAAACUCCUACGGGAGGCAGCAGUGAGGAAUAUUGCUCAAUGGGCGAAAGCCUGAAGCAGCAACGCCGCGUGCGCGAUGAAGGCCUUCGGGUCGUAAAGCGCUUUUGAGAGGGACGAGAUAGGACGGUACCUCUGGAAUAAGUCACGGCUAACUACGUGCCAGCAGCCGCGGUAAAACGUAGGUGGCAAGCGUUAUCCGGAUUCACUGGGCGUAAAGCGCGUGCAGGUGGCCUCGUAAGUUGGACGUUAAAUCUCCCGGCCUAACCGGGAGGGGUCGUUCAAUACUGCGGGGCUGGAGGGCAGAAGAGGGGGGUGGAAUUGCUGGUGUAGUGGUGAAAUGCGUAGAUAUCAGCAGGAACACCUGUGGCGAAAGCGGCCCCCUGGUCUGCUCCUGACACUCAGACGCGAAAGCUAGGGGAGUGAACGGGAUUAGAAACCCCGGUAAUCCUAGCCGUAAACGAUGGAUGCUAGGUGUGGGUGGUAUUGACCCCAUCCGUGCCGAAGCUAACGCGUUAAGCAUCCCGCCUGGGGACUACGGCCGCAAGGUUAAAACUCAAA
This 700-nucleotide ribosomal RNA is filed under the name uncultured bacterium. RNAcentral describes it as "bacterial SSU rRNA". It matches the Rfam family "Bacterial small subunit ribosomal RNA", at positions 189 to 905 of the family's 1533-position model. The record is from RNAcentral.